GACGAACGCUGGCGGCGUGCUUAACACAUGCAAGUCGAACGGUGAAGGGACCAGCUUGCUGGUUCUGGAUGAGUGGCGAACGGGUGAGUAACACGUGAGUAACCUGCCCCCUUCUUCUGGAUAACCGCAUGAAAGUGUGGCUAAUACGGGAUAUUCUGGGUCUGUCGCAUGGCGGGCCCGGGAAAGAUAUUGCUUCGGUGGGAUGGGCUCGCGGCCUAUCAGCUUGUUGGUGGGGUGAUGGCCUACCAAGGCGGUGACGGGUAGCCGGCCUGAGAGGGUGGACGGUCACACUGGGACUGAGACACGGCCCAGACUCCUACGGGAGGCAGCAGUGGGGAAUAUUGCACAAUGGGCGCAAGCCUGAUGCAGCGACGCCGCGUGAGGGAGGGAGGCCUUCGGGUUGUAAACCUCUUUCGCCAGUGAAGCAGGCCUGCUCCUUGUGGGUGGGUUGACGGUAGCUGGAUAAGAAGCGCCGGCUAACUACGUG
Molecule: ribosomal RNA, 487 nt
Filed under: uncultured bacterium
Lineage: Bacteria
Description: partial 16S ribosomal RNA
Rfam family: Bacterial small subunit ribosomal RNA
Source: RNAcentral